Molecule: ribosomal RNA, 661 nt
Filed under: uncultured bacterium
Lineage: Bacteria
Description: bacterial SSU rRNA
Rfam family: Bacterial small subunit ribosomal RNA
Source: RNAcentral
CCGAUUAGCUAGUUGGUGAGGUAAAAGCCCACCAAGGCAUAGAUCGGUAGCCGGCCUGAGAGGGCACACGGCCACACUGGCACUGAAACACGGGCCAGACUCCUACGGGAGGCAGCAGUGGGGAAUCUUGCACAAUGGGGGAAACCCUGAUGCAGCGACGCCGCGUGAGCGAUGAAGCCCUUCGGGGUGUAAAGCUCUUUCGUCAGGGACGAUAAUGACGGUACCUGGAGAAGCAGCUGCGGCUAACUACGUGCCAGCAGCCGCGGUAAUACGUAGGCAGCAGGCGUUGUUCGGAGUUACUGGGCGUAAAGGGUGUGUAGGCGGUUCUUUAAGUUUGGUGUGAAAUCUCCCGGCUCAACUGGGAGGGUGCGCCGAAUACUGAGGGACUAGAGUACGGGAGAGGAAAGUGGAAUUCCUGGUGUAGCGGUGAAAUGCGUAGAUAUCAGGAGGAACACCGGUGGUGUAGACGGCUUUCUGGACCGUAACUGACGCUGAGACACGAAAGCGUGGGUAGCAAACAGGAUUAGAUACCCUGGUAGUCCACGCCCUAAACGAUGCAUAUUUGGUGUGGGCAGUUCAUUCUGUCCGUGCCGGAGCUAACGCGUUAAAUAUGCCGCCUGGGGAGUACAGUCGCAAGGCUGAAACUCAAAGGAAUUGACGG